CCUACGGGAGGCUGCAGUGGGGAAUAUUGGACAAUGGGCGAAAGCCUGAUCCAGCCAUGCCGCGUGUGUGAAGAAGGCCUUCGGGUUGUAAAGCACUUUCAGUGGGGAAGAAAGCCUUGGGGCUAAUACCCUCGAGGAAGGACAUCACCCACAGAAGAAGCACCGGCUAACUCCGUGCCAGCAGCCGCGGUAAUACGGAGGGUGCGAGCGGUAAUCGGAAUUACUGGGCGUAAAGCGCGCGUAGGCGGUCUGAUAAGCCGGUUGUGAAAGCCCCGGGCUCAACCUGGGAACGGCAUCCGGAACUGUCAGGCUAGAGUGCAGGAGAGGAAGGUAGAAUUCCCGGUGUAGCGGUGAAAUGCGUAGAGAUCGGGAGGAAUACCAGUGGCGAAGGCGGCCUUCUGGACUGACACUGACGCUGAGGUGCGAAAGCGUGGGUAGCAAACAGGAUUAGAUACCCUGGUAGUC
Molecule: ribosomal RNA, 465 nt
Filed under: Vreelandella stevensii
Lineage: Bacteria; Pseudomonadati; Pseudomonadota; Gammaproteobacteria; Oceanospirillales; Halomonadaceae
Description: partial 16S ribosomal RNA
Rfam family: Bacterial small subunit ribosomal RNA
Source: RNAcentral